AAUAGGAAUGGUUGAAGGAGGAGAAAGAGAAAAAAUGGGGAUGAGGAAGAAGAUGUAGAAAUUUGAUGAACAAUGGUGAUGAGGAGGAAGAUGAAAGAGGAUGAAGGUGGCUGGAAUUGGUUUUGGUGGCUAAGGGGUUGAUUUUGGUGAAAAUAGAUAACUUAAUUAAUGUUAGGGUUUAAGCUAAUUAGAUAAAAUCAGUUUUGUAAUUAGGGUGUUUUUAAAAAACAAGUAAAGGUAAAAUAGUAAUUUUACCACUAAAAAGUUACUAAAAAAGGAAAGAAAUGGGAAAGUUGUAAAUAAAGUGGACCGGCCUAAAAAGAAAAUAGUUGCAAGUAAAGUGAACCAGAGGUAGUAUGAGAUAUAAAAGACCUGGUUAUACCUUCAACGAGUCUCUUAAGUGUACUAGGGCCCACAAACUUAAUGGAAGAACAAUAGGCGAGGGGGAUAUGAAACUCGUUAUCAGAUUUCAUGGGUAUCUUCUUUAGUCCUUAUUUCCACACUUGGUCUUUUUACCACUUCUUAUUACUCUUAUUUUUUUUUUUAAUUUAUUAAUUUUAUAUUCCUCACAUCUUCAACAUAUUUAUAUUAUGACAUUCUCUCUCCUCAAAACCCUAACCCCCAAAUAAAAAUCCUCAAUUUCUCUUCCAAAUUCGCCAACAACCUUCCAUUUCCUGGCCUUUCUCUGUUCAAGCUUUCUUAAAAUGUUGAAGAGACUCCAACUAUAUUGCUCAUGGAACUCGCACUCUACGGUAUUUUCAUUUCUAGUGUGGUUUGUUCUUGAUUAUUGCAGUAAUUGAAUUGGAUUGGAUGGAUCGGAGAUGGUGGACGAAAAUUUUCAAUUAUGGGAAGGAAGACAUAAUUAUUCGCUUUCAUCUUGAGUAAUUUGUAACCAAAGAAUCACAAUUUGCGAAUUUGUUGACUACAGGAUUUUGGUGUGCUUGAAUGGAAUAUGAAUUGAUCUAUGAGUUUGGUUAGAAAUUAUUUACUGUAGUUUAUAUAACUUGUUGAAUCAACAAGUUUUAAUUUUAUAUUUUUUAAUUUUAUACAUGUAAAUUUAGGUCUGUAACUAUGUAAUGUUGUAUAGCAUUAUUGAUCUAUUUUACAAGAAAUAUUAUUGAUAUUAAAUUUUAAUUUGGUAA
Molecule: long non-coding RNA, 1142 nt
Organism: Chenopodium quinoa (quinoa)
Lineage: Eukaryota; Viridiplantae; Streptophyta; Magnoliopsida; Caryophyllales; Amaranthaceae
Exons: 2
Source: RefSeq, a predicted model, not a curated record